UAUCACCCUCCAAUUGGAAAAACCCACAAAGCCAAUCGUGCACCUUGGCGUAACCAAAACCAGAGGCAGCAGCAGCAGUUCCUCCAAAGCCGAUUCCGAUCCAGCAAAAGCAACAACCGCGUGUGUGUGUGUGUGUGAUGAUGAUGGGCGGAAAACAUACGUUCGAAAUCUUGUUGCUUUCUGUCGGCCGACCAGCCUGCUCUGCCAGCGGAAAACCAGAAGUAAUACUCAAGUAAGAUAAAUAUAAAUAUUUCCUCAUUUUAUAAAUAUGCAAACAUUAUUCCCUCAGCCAAUCCGUAAACGUGAAGCUCGAGGUGCAGUCUUUGGUUGAUCACUCUCAUCACUAGUGGAUCUCGUCCGUUUCAGGAACCGAAACUUGGCGGCGGUUUCUCGGUACUUGUACUUUCAUGUUCCGCUGCCGUACUCCAAGAAUUGAAGACCUCUAACGCAGACCGCAUCCGACGGUCCAUCCGCCAGCCAGCCAAGCAAACUUCCUCCCGGGACCAGCAUGGGGCACCUGCUUUACAGAGUCUGUCAAGCUGGGCACAACCCAUCAAAGUUUCCAAAGUUGAUCAAAUAUGAAAGCAAAAAGGGGAGGAAUAUACCGCACGAUGAAAUAUAUCGAACCAACCGCACCAGAGCUCUGCACAGACCACGGCGAUAAACUAGGAAGCAACUGUCAUCACGAACGUCACUCAAAUUUAUCACUUAAUAUGAAAUUUAUGCCUGCCACAAACUUGUAGUGGAGGAUCGUGCUCGGUUCGGCCAUAUUUAUAAUUUAUAUUUCGAGCCACAGAGAAAGAGUGCAGAGACAAGGAACCUAUUUCACAUGCAGUUGAAUUUAAUUGGCAGAUUGAUAUUUCCUCUCGAGUUGCAGCAGCAGCAAAAGAUGAAAUGUUUACCCGCCCAAAGUUUGGAGACGGACAUCAUCGAGAGGAGUCUUCGUCGUCAGUUUUGGUGCUUCUUUUCUAGGAAUGUAGAAAUAUUUAUGCAAGCCACAACACGGAGACCCUUAAUCGGAUUGCGUAACUCUAUUUAUAAAUGUUUGCGUUUUGUGACAGAGCGCGAUACAAUGUUGCUAUGCGAGUCAUGAAUGAAAUUUGAA
Culex pipiens pallens (northern house mosquito) is the source of this 1105-nucleotide long non-coding RNA. RefSeq lists it as uncharacterized. The record is from RefSeq and is a predicted model, not a curated record. Lineage: Eukaryota; Metazoa; Arthropoda; Insecta; Diptera; Culicidae. The transcript has 3 exons.